This 73-nucleotide transfer RNA is filed under the name Otophryne sp. AMNH 101748. RNAcentral describes it as "tRNA-Asn". Lineage: Eukaryota; Metazoa; Chordata; Amphibia; Anura; Microhylidae. The record is from RNAcentral.
UAGAAUGAAGCUCGCAGGUUGGAGCAUUUAGCUGUUAACUAAAGUUUUAUGGGAUCGAGGCCCGUUAUUCUAG